RNAcentral lists this non-coding RNA (21 nucleotides) under Caenorhabditis elegans. The record is from RNAcentral. Lineage: Eukaryota; Metazoa; Nematoda; Chromadorea; Rhabditida; Rhabditidae.
UGGUUCCUUCCUUCCGCCUUU